GAAGGCGCGGGAAGAAUUUCGAGAGAUAAAUCCGUUAUCGUACGACUGUUCGACGAUACGCGAAUCUCGCGCAGCAGGUGUACCGUUCAAGUUAAACGAGUUUAAAACGAAAUACAUACAGGGCACGAUGGAAAAUUAUGAAAUACGUGCAGUCGAUUUUCAUCAUUACGGUACGAGGAAAGCGCAAAAUAGAGAGCAAGUAUAGCGCAAGGGAGCGCAAGUUUCGUCGUGACCCAAUCUCGUUUCAUCUAGGCUGAGUGGAGUGGACUCAUCCAAUUUGGGCUACUCAGCAAACACUGAUUUUCGCUAGUAGAACGUCGACGAAACUCUGAGAGGGCAAAGCGGUUUGCAAGUGAGAUUGCGGCAUUGGAAGUGAAGUCAAGGGAAGCCGAUCAACGGGCGCGAUAAAAAACAGCGUGUACUUUGCGCGAUUAAUUGAGAGAAAAGUGGAGUGUUAGAAGAAAGCGGCCGUGAAAAGAGAAACCAUGUUGUUACAACUCAUAAACCCAAGAUUUUUACUCGAUUAAUGAUUAUUUUAACGCAUCGUGUACGUGAGUCUUGAUCAAACGAGUAUACGCUAUACUAGAUGUAUUCCUAAUUUGACUAGCUAUAAGAAUAAAUCAUUGUAAAUUAUAGGCAUAUAUAGUAUCUUAGUUAGUAGUUUAUUAUCUGGAAUUGUUAAUAUAAGAUUUGAUAAACUAAUCAGUGAUUAUGGUGAACCAGAGAGGAAUGCACGAGAUUGCAUAAUGCGAUCGUUGAACGCAGCGACACGUAGGUCUCAGCAACGUGCCAGAAACGAAAAUACCUCGCCGGAAAGGUAACCAAAAAUCACAUGAGUUUACAAAUCGAAAUUCGAUUCGCUUUGCUCCAAGUCAUUGUUCUUUUAUUUUGUGUAUGGCAUGAAUAGGUAAAAUAUUUUUUGUUCCAUGCUAUUAGGAAAUUAGCUCGUUUGUACAGUUGUUAUAGUUGUAAGAACGAUUUCCACUUAAAUAUGGCCCCGUUGCGUUGUUGACAUUACGUGAAAUUCUCACAACCAAGACUAACUGUUUCCUCGUGAGAGAGAAUGUUCAAGGAAAGGGAAAGUUCGAGGGGUUAGUUGGUUCGAGUAAAGAGAACGAGUAAGACUUAAGCUGCUUUCACUAUUUUCUGAAAAUGUUCUCUCUCUUUUCCCUUGAUUUUCCUUUUUAACAAGGAUAAAUUGAAUUUCGCGGCAUUAUCUUCGUAAUCAGCCAUCAACUGACGGUUGGCUGAUGAGAAUCACUCACUAACUUAAGAACGUAUUUGUGGUUGUUCAGACAUAAUUGUCUAUUAAUUACAUAAGAAUGUCUGUUAUUACUCGUUCUAUAACGAGUACACCUAAGUAUAGAAUUCGUUUAGAUUUUAUCUUUCAGUUAUGCUUUCACCAGGUGAAAUGCGACAGUUCGAUGAAACUUCGUUACUCGUCGUAACAAAAAAUGUGGAUAUCUCCUCAUAAGCAAUCUAAGUAAACAUAGUUAUCCAAGAUCGAUUACUUGCGCACACAACUUUCUGUACCCACAUUAAGGAAAUACCAUAUCUCAAACUCCAUUACCUUACCUACCUACCAUCAAAGUACACACGUUCACCCUUAUUCACCUUACUAAUUACUAAACCUAUAAUCCUAAACUACUUAACCCAUUACCCUGCAGCGUGAAAUGUAUGUAUAUACAUCCUCAUUCUGAUAGUGGAGGAUUGUAGGGCAACACAAAGCAUCAAACACAUGGUCCUUGUUAUUUAGUUUAAUAAGUAUCUAUUAAAAAAGUGGCAAUUUUAAUGUUAGUGUAGACAUGUAAAGAAGAGAUAUAUAAAAAAGUAUAGUAACAAUUGCAUAGAUAUAAUUGAGAGGCUUUAAUCUAUCUAACAAAAUAAUAUAAGUGAGAUGGUUUAAUCUUAAAUAACUAUUCGGAUUCCAAUCAUUUAACGUUUCAAACAGUCCUACGAAACUCUCAUUCGCAGACUAGUGAUUGCCAAAAAUUCGGAUCAAUCGCAAAGUUCCAAAAGGAAAUAAAAAAAGUUCGACGGAACGUGAUGGCGCAGCGCGGUCCCCGCAGUCGAUAAAAACGCGAUGAAGUGCCUGCGCAAUGCCCAGUGACAGAGGGAGAUUCGAUGUUUCGCAGGCUUUGUUCAUAUACGCGGGCUCGUA
Ceratina calcarata is the source of this 2161-nucleotide long non-coding RNA. RefSeq lists it as uncharacterized. NCBI's taxonomy places the organism in Eukaryota, Metazoa, Arthropoda, Insecta, Hymenoptera, Apidae. The record is from RefSeq and is a predicted model, not a curated record. The transcript is spliced from 3 exons.